This 500-nucleotide ribosomal RNA is filed under the name uncultured bacterium. RNAcentral's name for it is "bacterial SSU rRNA". It matches the Rfam family "Bacterial small subunit ribosomal RNA", at positions 9 to 524 of the family's 1533-position model. The record is from RNAcentral.
GAGUUUGAUCGUGGCUCAGGACGAACGCUGGCGGCGCGCCUAAUACAUGCAAGUCGAGCGAGAACCGGGGCUUCGGCCCCGGGGAGAGCGGCGAACGGGUGCGUAUCACGUGAGCAACCUGCCUCGGAGACCGGAAUAACUCGAGGAAACUCGGGCUAAUGCCGGAUGCCCUCGAUGGACCGCAUGGUCCGGCGAGGAAAUGGAUUCCGCUCCGAGAUGGGCCCGCGGCCUAUCAGCUUGUUGGUGGGGUAACGCCUACCAAGGCGACGACGGGUAGCUGGUCUGAGAGGACGAUCAGCCACACUGGGACUGAGACACGGCCCAGACUCCUACGGGAGGCAGCAGUAGGGAAUCUUGCGCAAUGGGGGAAACCCUGACGCAGCGACGCCGCGUGCGGGAUGAAGGCCUUCGGGUCGUAAACCGCUUUCAGCAGGGACGAAAUUGACGGUACCUGCAGAAGAAGGCCCGGCCAACUACGUGCCAGCAGCCGCCGCUGUAAU